RNAcentral lists this unclassified non-coding RNA (334 nucleotides) under Hevea brasiliensis (rubber tree). Lineage: Eukaryota; Viridiplantae; Streptophyta; Magnoliopsida; Malpighiales; Euphorbiaceae. The record is from RNAcentral.
ACCUCUUGGAAGAACUCUGGGCCAUGAAAUAGAGAAUCUAUAGGUGUUAACACCGAGUGAAUGCAUCAACUCAAUGUCCUCAAGAUAACGGUGAUAAUGGUCAUCGGCAAUGUCUCCAUUAUUUCCGUCCUCAAUCUUUCCUGGUGUAUGAGAGAAAAUAUCCCAAUUGCUUGCAGUUUUGUUGGCUGCAAAUGGUGCGCCUUCAAUCUGAUAAGAAGAGGUUGAAGUCCCAAAGAGGAACUCCGGCGGAAAAUCGGCCCGCUCGACUCCGGCGACCCAACGGAAGAGCAGCUGGAGAAACAGAGCAGCCCAAAAGACCUUCAUCCUCAAAAAG